AACGAACGCUGGCGGCAGGCCUAACACAUGCAAGUCGAGCGAGGACUUCGGUUCUAGCGGCGGACGGGUGAGUAACGCGUGGGAAUGUGCCCUUCUCUACGGAAUAGCCCUGGGAAACUGGGAGUAAUACCGUAUACGCCCUAUUGGGGAAAGAUUUAUCGGAGAAGGAUCAGCCCGCGUUGGAUUAGGUAGUUGGUGGGGUAAUGGCCUACCAAGCCGACGAUCCAUAGCUGGUUUGAGAGGAUGAUCAGCCACACUGGGACUGAGACACGGCCCAGACUCCUACGGGAGGCAGCAGUGGGGAAUCUUAGAAAAUGGGGGCAACCCUGAUCUAGCCAUGCCGGGUGAGUGAUGAAGGCCUUAGGGUUGUAAAGCUCUUUCAGCUGGGAAGAUAAUGACGGUACCAGCAGAAGAAGCCCCGGCUAACUCCGUG
This 433-nucleotide ribosomal RNA is filed under the name uncultured bacterium. Its description in RNAcentral is "partial 16S ribosomal RNA". It matches the Rfam family "Bacterial small subunit ribosomal RNA", at positions 29 to 507 of the family's 1533-position model. The record is from RNAcentral.